This is a non-coding RNA of Cajanus cajan (pigeon pea), 1552 nucleotides long. NCBI's taxonomy places the organism in Eukaryota, Viridiplantae, Streptophyta, Magnoliopsida, Fabales, Fabaceae. The record is from RefSeq and is a predicted model, not a curated record.
UUAGGGUUUAACCGUUCCUAAGCUUAAGAGUGUCGUCGUUUCUAUUCCUCCUCUUAUUUCUUUUUUCCUCUCUAAACAUAGCCACCCUUACACUCUCGUACUCCUGCUCCCUCUGUGCUCUCCUUCUCUCACCCUGGUUCCGUGAAAUCAAACCACUCCGAUCGUUGUGCUGUCGCCAACCAGCAAAGUAAGGCUCACCACUAUCUAUUCCUUUUGGAGUCUAAGUAGAAGAGAUGGUGAGGCUCGCUGCUGAAUUAAUAUGGAAAAGCCCUCAUUUCUUCAAUUCAAUUAAAGAGCGUGAGUUAGAUCUUCGAGGUAACAAGAUAGCUGUAAUUGAAAACUUAGGUGCUACCGAGGACCAAUUUGACACCAUAGAUUUAUCUGACAAUGAGAUUGUCAAACUGGAAAACGUGCCAUAUCUUAGCCGGUUGGGUACAAUGCUCAUUAACAACAACAGGAUUACUAGAAUUAAUCCCAACAUUGGAGAGUUUUUGCCGAAAUUACACACACUAGUUCUCACAAACAACAGAAUUGUAAACUUGGUAGAAAUUGAUCCUUUAGCAUCCCUUCCAAAGCUGCAGUUCCUUAGUCUGCUAGACAACAAUAUUACAAAGAAAGCAAAUUACAGGCUUUAUGUUAUUAACAAGCUGAAAUCCCUCCGUGUUUUAGAUUUCAAGAAAGUGAAAUAUAUGGAACGGUUGGAAGCCAAAAACUUGUUUAAUUCAAAGGAAGUUGUAGAAGAAAUUCAAAGGACCCUAGCAAAAACGUUUUCACCUGGUGAAACUCCAAAUGUUUCAGAAGCAUCUGAGGAACAACAGACGCCCAAAGUGGUUGCUCCUACACCUGAGCAAAUUAUUGCUAUUAAGGCUGCCAUUGUCAAUUCUCAGACACUUGAAGAGGUUGCUAGACUUGAAAAGGCAUUGAAAUCUGGCCAGCUUCCUGAAGAUUUAAAAAGCUUGAAUGAUGCUAUAAUGUUGGAUAAUGUUGAUGAAAAACAUGAGGAUGUGAUUCGUGAUGAUAAAGUUCAGGCUGAUGGUGAAUCUAUUAAUACACAAGAACAGAAAAAUACUGAAUCUGUUUCAAUGGAACAGAACUAUUUUGAACAAAUAAGCGAUUUCUAGCAAGUCUGCGGACUCUUCCUCGUUUCAGAUUCUUGUUACCCACAACUUGUCCAACCAUAUCCCAGCACAUGACAGCGCAUACAUGGCUUAGGGUGAAGAUUUUGAGUCCUAGCACUUUAAUGUCGGUUUCUUGAGUCAGUUGGUAAUUUUCCAUGAAGUGUACAUGAUGAAUCUUCUGUAGUGAACAACGGGUAGUACCUGAUGAAUCUGCUGUACUUGAUGGAUUACCUGGGAACAGGAUGUUUCAAUUUCUCUCGUAGUGAAUUAUUGCUUUAGCCGUAUAUGUAUUAAUUUGAUUCUUUAACUUGAACGAUUACGACAUUUUUGUUCGUAGCCAUCAAUGUGUUGGUUCAAGAUAACUAUCUACCUGUAUCCAACAUAUUGUCAAACACCAGGUGAAAAUGCUCUGAUAAGAAAUCCAUUCUUUGACA